RNAcentral lists this ribosomal RNA (478 nucleotides) under uncultured Planctomycetales bacterium. Its description in RNAcentral is "bacterial SSU rRNA". It matches the Rfam family "Bacterial small subunit ribosomal RNA", at positions 364 to 832 of the family's 1533-position model. The record is from RNAcentral. Lineage: Bacteria; Pseudomonadati; Planctomycetota; Planctomycetia; Planctomycetales.
UUUCGCAAUGCCCGAAAGGGUGACGAAGCGACGCCGCGUGCGGGAAGAAGGCCUUCGGGUUGUAAACCGCUGUCGGGAGUUAAGAAAUGCAAGGAUGUUAAUAGCAUUUUUGUUUGACUAAGGCUCCGGAGGAAGCCACGGCUAACUCUGUGCCAGCAGCCGCGGUAAUACAGAGGCGGCAAGCGUUGUUCGGAAUUAUUGGGCGUAAAGAGCACGUAGGCGGCUGUGUAAGUCGGUUGUGAAAGCCUUCCGCUUAACGGAAGAACGGCAUCCGAUACUGCAUAGCUCGAGUGCGGGAGGGGAGAGUGGAACUUCUGGUGGAGCGGUGAAAUGCGUAGGUAUCAGAAGGAACACCGGCGGCGAAGGCGACUCUCUGGCCCGUAACUGACGCUGAGUGUGCGAAAGCUAGGGGAGCAAACGGGAUUAGAUACCCCGGUAGUCCUAGCCGUAAACGAUGGGCACUAAGUAGAGGGGUUUU